CCCUGGAGGAUGUGACAGCUGCCAUUAUAUGUCCACCAUGCUGCCUGGGGACAGAGUGGGCAGCCCCAGAAACAGAGAGAAGUCUGGGGAGAAGAAUUCUAGGGAAACUGGAUCCAUUUCCAUAUGAAGAAAAGGAAGGCUUUCUGAGAGUCAGGGCCAUUCGGUGACAUGAGCAGGGAGCUUUCCAUCACUGGAGGUGUGCCAGGAGCCACUGAUGGCCUUUUGGACAAGAGGCCAAAGGGCAUAGGAGGUUGGACCAGAUGGCCUCUGCGAGUCUGUAGAGCACUGUGUUCUGAAAGUGUGUGACUCAAGGAUUCUGUAGCUGGAUUCCAUUUAAGCCCAUUUGUGGGCAAAGAUUCUAUGACUUGCUAUUCCUACCCAUCCAGACAAAUCCUGCCCUGGCUUCUCUAUGUGAGCCGUAUUGGCAAGGACCCCGUAUUGGCAAGUACAUUGCUCAGCCUAAGCAGAGGGGAACAAAGCCAUCGUGUUUGCAUGAAGCCCAUUCUAUGAACAGGCUCAGUCCCGCAGGCAGAGAGGCCCAGCUGUACUCCACUAAAGGGAAACGCAGAAUCCUGAUUCCACGCCGAGUUCACUCCCAAGUGACCAGAAGAUCCAUCUCUGUUUCCCCUGGACUCAGGCUAUUCAGGGACUGCCAGCUUCGGUAGACAGUGUUCUUCUGUUGCCUAAAGAAAAUUCAGCAACUGUUGUGAUGCAGCAAAUGCCCUGACGGAUGGAAUUCUCCACUCAUCCAAAAUAUAGGCAACCAAUGAAGGGUCUAGAUUUGCCUCACAAAUCUCAGAAUUGAUGGUCUUUGUUCCCAGGCUACAAGGGGCUGUAGAAAGAGGGAAAUUAAAGAUUUUUGUUCCAGAUGCUAUGAAGAAAACAAAAAAAGCAAAUGGUGUUGGGACAUAGAUAUAUCCAUUAGCAAAAAGGAAAAGAGAGAGAGAAAGAAAAGGAAGGGGGAAUGAGGAGGAGGAAGAUGAGAAGAAAGAGGAAGAAGUGGGGAAAAGAAGGUGAGAAGGAGGAGGAAAGAAAAGAAGGAGAUGAGGAAGAGGAGAAGGAAGAGGAACAAGGGGAGAGGUGGAGGGAGUAGUAGGACGAAGAGGAAAAGAAGCAGCGGCACCCUUGCCCGUGGUCCUUAUCUCACAACUCAUACAAGGUCCAAGUAAAAACUGAUCACUGACUGAAGUGGAAAGCCUAAAACUAUAAAAAUUCUAGAAUAAAACAAAGGAGAGAAAAUCUUAGUGACCUUGGGUUAGGCCAAGAUUUUUUAAACAGAAGAAAAAAUGAACAAAUUAUUAAAGAAGAC
RNAcentral lists this long non-coding RNA (1309 nucleotides) under Pan troglodytes (chimpanzee). RNAcentral's name for it is "lncRNA (ENSPTRG00000053118.1)". The record is from RNAcentral. Lineage: Eukaryota; Metazoa; Chordata; Mammalia; Primates; Hominidae.